UCUCGGGUUUGGGCUGAUGAGAAGGGAGUGUUCUCUGUGCCUUGGAGCUGCUCCUGAGGUCCUGCUGCUCCCUGGGAUGCGCCAGGAGUGCAAGAUCUGUGUGCAUUCUCUGAAGUCUCACCCAGGGCUGGGCUCUCCUGACCUCUCUCCCCAUCUCAGCCGAGUGUCUGCAGGAAAUGUUUAGUAAUUAAGUAGCUGUGAGGGCUCUGCCCAGCCCGUCAUCAGCCGGGGCUGGAAUGAGCCUCAAAGAACGGCAGGAUCCACACACGUGGCCUUGACCGUCCCAACCCACGCGGUGCUGCUGCUUCUGCUCGGAGAACCAAGCUGAGCGAAGCUGCUGCUUUGGUGGCAGAGAUUUCUCAGGGUGCUUUUCCCGAGCGGUGAUUCUCGCCUGUGCGAGGCAAGAGGAAAAUCAGCGCAGAUUUUUUUAGGGGAAGCCACGAUAAAACCGGUGAAUUCCUCCCAGGGGCUGCGUUGGGUUGCGAUUUCUGACACAUCAGCUGUGGCAAUCCGGGGUGAUUUCACUGAAGCCUCUGCAGACAUCUGUUUGUAAAUGAGACCAGGAUCUGGCCUGUGUUAAAGGAACGCUGCCCAGGGGUUUUCUCCAAGAUGUGUGCUCUUGCUUUCUGCUCUCUUAGCAAAUUCAGCGCUCCUAGGAGCCAAUUCUGCAUCUUAAAUAGAAAGCCAAGGCAGUGCUUUCUCUUGAAGUAUUCCUGCAGAGCUGGGAACAGCAUUUGCUUCAAUGGAAGAGUUUGAGAUCCCCGGGAAAACGGGGACCUGAGCCCCCUCCCCGUGAAGCCGAUGGCAAAGGAGCAGCGCUGCUCUGACAGGGCUCGUGAUGUAAGGCACUAACAUUAGCACAGGCUCCAGUGGGAUUUAAUGUAAGCAGCACAGUAGCCUGGGCUUCUUGCUGUGGCAUGGGAGAAACUGCACCUCCGGAGCAGUAAGGAGAAAGGAAUGAGGGAAGGUGCCCACAGAUGAGAACAGCUCCAGCUUCUAAAGAAACACAACACUUGACAAACCCUGGAAGUGUGGUUGGGCUGCAGACCCCGUGGAUCCCUGUGUCUAAUUGAAGCAGACAAGGCUGCAACUCAGACUUUGCAUAUUUCAAUGAAAUAUUCAUGAAUCCAGGAGAGAAUAACCCGGGGUGAACAUCAAGUUGUAUAAUCUGAAUGUAUUCUCUAUAACUGUCAGCAACACGCAGACAGCUCAAGAAAAUUCCGGGGAGGGUCUGUCUGUGCUUGUUGAGAAACACCUCGCUGCUUUGGCUCUAAAGGACAAUGAUGAUUGUGUUUGCCCAGACUAUUUAAUUAGCAGAUUUCCCAAAUUGGGCUCUUAGGGACUGAAGUCCCCAUUUACCCCAUGUGGAAGCAUGUGGCUUCCCGGGAAGCUCCAGCUGCCGCUGGAGUGGAGGGUGCCCAGCCUCCUGAGACACGAGGCAGUUUCUCACUUGGCUAUUUAAUCCAGACCGAGGCGCCGAGCAUUAAGCACACCUUCAUUAGAGGAUGCUCAUCUCUGUUUCUGCAUUGAUUCCUCUGAAGACCUGCAGGUUAGGAGUGGGAAGGAAAAUCAGUAAUGGAGCAAAAUGACUGUGAUUUAGAGAUCGGAUUGCACGCAGCCAGGGCCGUGCAUCAGGAUAAUGAGAUUCAGUCUUGUUUGCUUACAAGCGCUGGAGACAGAAGCAGAAAAUGCGAUCCACCAAGCCAGCUCUCAGGAAAUGAGGAACAAUAGAGUGAGGAAAUCAAAUUUCAAACGGCAGGGAUGCAUUUAUCGAGUUUUCCUCGGGAUUUUUGCAGAGCUUUGGGGCGGUUCUCUGCGCAGCGUUUUUUCGGGCAGCCGACAUAUGGCUGGAGGAUUAGAUCACUGCAAAGCACCGUUGUUUGUGACCUAUUUGUUAAUGCGGGGCUGGGGUCAGCGACAAGCGACAAAUGCACUCUGUCAUUGUUCGGGGCUUUUCAAGUGCUGCUCCUGUUGUCCCUCGCACCGUGGCCAGACACUUGGAACAAACUCAUUAGCUAAUUAGUGGUGUGCUCAGCCCCACGUGGGUGAUAUUCCCAUUAUGGCUGUGGAACGGGCCCUCCUGGGGAUCCCUGGCAGCUGCUCUUCCCUAGGUUAGUUGGGAGGGCAGCUGGGGGAGGAUGUGCCUUCCUCAUCUUCUCUGGGAGAGCCUCCUGCAUUCCAGACACCCCACUCCUUAUCCUCCUGCUCCUUAUCCUCCUGCUCCUUGCCUUGCAACAGUCCCUCCACUCCCACUCCUUGGAUCCGCUGCCACCAGCUCGUCUCUGGCGAUCAGUGAUAGGAGCUGAGGGCACGGUGCGAAGCUGUGCCAGGAAAGUUUGGGUUCUCGGCAAAAGUUUUUUCACCCAGAGGGUGGCGGGGCACUGAACAGGCUCCCCAAGGAAUGGUCACGGCCCCAAGGCUGCCAGAGCUCCAGGAGAGUUUGAACAGAGCUCUCAGGCACAGGGUGGGAUUCAUAAAAUCACAGAACAGUUUGGGUUGGAAGGGAUCUCAAAAACACCUUCCACCAUCACAGGUUGCUCCAAGCCCUGUCCAACCUGGCCUUGAACACUUCCAGGGAUGUGGCAGCCACAGCUUCUCUGGGCAGCCAGGUCUAGUGAAAGGUGUUCCUGAUCCUCGGUGUUGUCCUGUGCAGGACCACGAGUUGUAUUUGAUGCUCCUUGUGAGUCUCUUCCAUAUCCCAAGGACAUCCUGGGAGUCUGUGAGCUGCCUCCUCCAUGUGGAUUGCUCUGCUGGUUAUCAGGGUGGUGCCACAGCUCCCGGUGCCCGACUCAGACUGCAGAUCACGGCCUUGGACUCUGGUUGUGCCAACGCAGCUGAAAGGUUGUGGGCAGGGGAGAUGGCUCGGGUCAAUAUCCAGGUACAGCCCGCUCCAAAGCGGGAUGGGGCAGGGCUGCGGUGGGAAGUGUUCUACACCUGGGUUUAAAGUCACAGGACUAGCUCAGUGACAUCCUGCUGGUAAUAUGAAACGAGAAACAUAAAUCCACUGCCAUGGGAGCCACCAGGAGGGAACAUCCCUGUGCAGCUUGGGCAAAGCUCUGCUCGUGUACCUGCCCAGGGUAGCAGGAACACUGCAAUUUAAGGCAUUAACAAGGGUAUAAUAAUAAAAAAAAAUGAGUGAUUUUUACUUGGCUGGUUUGUUUUACUCGCACCAAGGGGCUUGAUCUGGUUGAUAGAAAACAGGGGUUUUUUUGGUGGAAGUGUGCCAGCUGCAGGAGGCUUUCGCUGGGUUUGCUGAUUUGCACACUUAAUGAUGUAGACAGGCACCUGGGAUGGAGCUGGGAAUGGAGAGGAAGCUGCCUCCUGCUCUGGAGAGCUGUCUGCCCAGAUCUGGAAGGAACACAGGCAGGAGAGAAGGCAGCAGGAACAAUCCCGUUCUUCCAAUUUUAUUUCAACCAAGAGCUUUCUUCUCCUCCUUUGGAGCUGUCAGCACCUGAUCAUUAGGAUUAAUGAACGUGCACAGAAACAUUGGGUUUCCAUCACUGCUGUUUUCUUGCAAAGAAGAAAAGGGGGAAGCAUUCUUUCAGCUCCUGCUGAUACCAUCAGAUGUGUGCUGAUCCCUUAUUUUUUUCACCCAGAAUUUAAUCCUGCCAAGCUCAAGGUUAAGAGCUAAGCCAGAAUCACAGCUCGCUGCAGAAGAUUCGGAGCUUCCCGGCUCCCAGAUGGUGUUCCAGGCAUUGGAAUGUGCAGCAUUUCUAAACAAGUUGCUUUUAAUGCAGCUCACUCGGGUGUUUCACUGCAGUCCCCGUUCUUCCGUAUUUAAACCUCAAAUCUGUGGCAGAUUUGAUAGUGGCUCCAUGGGAGGAAGGGCUGGGCUGUAAGUGGUGGAUGCUCCAUCCCUGGAAGUUUCCAAGGCUGGGUUGGACGGGUCUUGGAGCAACCUGGGAUAGUGGGAGGUGUCCCUGCCCCGGCUGGGUUUGGAAGGAGAUGAUUUUUAAGGUCCCUUCCCAAACUGUUCUGGGAUUUGAUGAAGUUUGCAGCGCUCAGCCUGACCUUCCUCUCAUUUAAAAGCAGUGAGUCACAAACUGGGUUUUGCUCGGCAUUUCUGUUUCCUUAUGCUUUUUGUAAGGCACGAUUCCUCAGGAAUCUGGGUUUUAAAUAACCCAAGGCAGGGCUGCCCUGUGCCAGCAGUGAUCCAAGCAGAGCUCUGCUAUCCAGCCUCUCCCCUGGCCUGCUCCAAUCCCGACUGUCUCCCGAGCAGCCACGUCCCGUUUCCUUGAAUUGUCUCCCGGUUUUGAGAUGGGAACAAAUACAUUCAGGGAGGACUACAAUGGGACCCGUAACUCCUCCAGCCCACGAUGCCGGACACUGGUUUAGUCAUUAUCCCGAGGGGAAGGACGUGUGCUCCGACCCACCCAGACCUUCCGGCUCCUCCUGCCACGUUUGUGCCGCUGCGUCCCUGCCGAACUCCCCUUCAUCACCCAGUGUGGCGACCCUGAUCCACAAAUGUGUCCAUCAAGUGUCUCCUUCGCCAUAAAUGUGGUUAUUUUAUAUUUAAGAUAUAUUGGUAUCUUCAGUGGGAGGGGGAAAGUGGAGCAUCUUGUGCUGGGAGCUGCGCCGGGGAGGUUAAGGUUGGAUAUUGGGAGGAAUUUUCUCACUGAAGGAGUGAUUAAAUAUUGGAAUGUGCUGCCCAAGGAUGUGGUGGAGUCACUGUGCCUGGAGGUGUUUAAGGAAAAGCUGGAUGUGGCACUCAGUGCCAUAGUCUAGUUGACAUGGGAGUGUUUGGCCACAAGUUGGACCUGACGAUCUUGAAUCUUUUCCAAACCAAUUCAUUCUAUGAUUCUG
Hirundo rustica (Barn swallow) is the source of this 4803-nucleotide long non-coding RNA. RefSeq lists it as uncharacterized. The record is from RefSeq and is a predicted model, not a curated record. The transcript has 4 exons. NCBI's taxonomy places the organism in Eukaryota, Metazoa, Chordata, Aves, Passeriformes, Hirundinidae.